Long non-coding RNA from Mytilus californianus (California mussel), 626 nucleotides. RefSeq lists it as uncharacterized. NCBI's taxonomy places the organism in Eukaryota, Metazoa, Mollusca, Bivalvia, Mytilida, Mytilidae. The transcript is spliced from 4 exons. The record is from RefSeq and is a predicted model, not a curated record.
AGAUAAAAUGAAGUUGGUGGACUAUGAAUGAAAUGCUAGCAAUUUUAGCUGUGAUUGCGAUAGCAGUUACGAUACAAAUUGUUUCAGGAAUUGGAAAUGAAACAAUCAAGGUGAAAGUGCAAAAAGGCAGAACUUUUGUUUUGAAAUGUUCCAUUUCUGAAGGAGAAGCGACAUGGUUAGGACCAUAUGUCAUCAAUGCAGGACAGGGAAAUGACAUUUACUUUUUAAAUAAUGACAAGAACCCAAACCUGAACCUAACCAAAUAUUCACUGCAAGGAAAUGCAGGAGGCUAUGACCUGAUUAUAAUAAAUUUUCAGGAGGAAAACACUGGUUGUUAUAUCUGCAGAUUUAGCAAUGAUGGACUGUUUCAUGAGACGAGAUAUAACGUCUCUUUAUUAGACAAAUACAAAGAAAAUGAAACAACUACAACAAGUUAUACAACUCAAAUUUAUGGGAUCAUAUCAAGUACUCCAAUGCUUGUACAGACUACCAAUUUUCAAUUUCCAAAAAGUAAACAAGGAAACAAGGAACAAAAUUCUAUAAUUUUGCUUGUACUUUUACCUCUUGUGCUGAUCGGAGGUUCUUUCACAAUUAUCGGACUUCUAGCAAGAGAAAAAGGGAUAACU